Molecule: ribosomal RNA, 488 nt
Filed under: uncultured bacterium
Lineage: Bacteria
Description: partial 16S ribosomal RNA
Rfam family: Bacterial small subunit ribosomal RNA
Source: RNAcentral
AUUGAACGCUGGCGGCAGGCUUAACACAUGCAAGUCGAGCGGGGACUUCGGUCCUAGCGGCGAACGGGUGAGGAAUGCUUGGGAAUCUGCCUUGUAGUGGGGGAUAACGUUUCGAAAGGAACGCUAAUACCGCAUACGUCCUACGGGAGAAAGGGGGGGAUCUUCGGACCUCUCGCUAUAAGAUGAGCCCAAGUCGGAUUAGCUAGUUGGUGGGGUAAAGGCCCACCAGGGCGACGAUCCGUAGCUGGUCUGAGAGGAUGAUCAGCCACACUGGAACUGAGACACGGUCCAGACUCCUACGGGAGGCAGCAGUGGGGAAUAUUGGACAAUGGGCGAAAGCCUGAUUCAGCCAUGCCGCGUGUGUGAAGAAGGCCUUCGGGUUGUAAAGCACUUUAAGCGAGGAGGAAUGGCUCUGGGUUAAUACCCUUGAGCAGUGACGUUACUCGCAGAAUAAGCACCGGCUAACUCUGUGCCAGCCGCCGCCGUAA